Molecule: long non-coding RNA, 987 nt
Filed under: Homo sapiens (human)
Lineage: Eukaryota; Metazoa; Chordata; Mammalia; Primates; Hominidae
Description: HSALNT0226912
Source: RNAcentral
GGUGGAUCACCUGAGGUCAGGAGUUUGAGACCAGCCUGGCCAACACGGUGAAAUCCCGUCUCUACUAAAAAUACAAAAAUUAGCCAGGCGCGGUGGCAGGCGCCUGUAAUUCCAGCCACUAAGGAGGCUGAGGCAGGAGAAUUGCUUGAACCUCGGAGGUGGAGGUUGGAGCAAGCCAAGAUCGUGCCACUGUACUCCAGCCUGGGUGACAGAGCGAGACUCCAUCUUGGAAACAAAACAAAAAAACAGAGAGUAAAUUAUGAAGUUAAAAGUGUUCUUGGCCGGGCGCAGUGGCUCACAUCUGUAAUCCCAGUACUUUGGGAGGCCAAGGCGGGCGGAUCACGAGUUCAGGAGUUCGAGAACAGCCUGACCAACAUGGUGAAACCCCAUCUCUACUAAAACUACAAAAAUUAGCCAGGCAUGGUGGCACUCACCUAUAAUCCCAGCUACUCAGGAGGCUGAGGCAGGAGAAUCGCUUGAACCCGGGAGGCAGAGGUUGCAGUGAGCCAAGAUCACACCACUGCACUACAACCUGGGUGACAGAGCGAGACUCCGUCACAAAAAAAGAAAGUGGCGUUCUCCUCCCUUUUCCUCAAUCCCAUCUUUCUGCAGUAGUCACCGGCAUAGGUUGCUCUCUACCAUCUUCUGGAUCGCUGCUCCUCCCCUGAUUUUCUCAGCUUCUUCAGAUGCUCCAGCUGCUUCUGAAUUUUCUUCUGGAAAAACAGCACUUGUUGAAAAGCUUGAAUUUGGCUCCUGCCAUCUUUAGCUGGUGCCAACUCUGGAGGGGAACAUCUCCUUCUGGUAGCAAGGCUGAGGGUGCUGCUGCCAGCGGCAUGGGGAGGGGUGCUCAGGAAAGAGGAGGGAGGAAUGGCUGAAUUGCCAAAGGCAGCAGAGCUGAGAGGCACUUCCUCUGAGCCUCUGGAUUCAGCCAUACCUGAAGCCAGCUCCCCCUGGAUCUCUGAGCAACAUAAACCUGUAGCUCCCCUC